This 484-nucleotide ribosomal RNA is filed under the name uncultured bacterium. RNAcentral describes it as "partial 16S ribosomal RNA". It matches the Rfam family "Bacterial small subunit ribosomal RNA", at positions 28 to 523 of the family's 1533-position model. The record is from RNAcentral.
GAUGUACGCUGGCGGCGUGCUUAACACAUGCAAGUCGAACGGUGAAGCAGGAGCUUGCUCUUGUGGAUCAGUGGCGAACGGGUGAGUAACACGUGAGCAACCUGCCCCUGACUCUGGGAUAAGCGCUGGAAACGGCGUCUAAUACUGGAUAUGUGAUGUGACCGCCUGGUCUGCAUCUGGAAAGAAUUUCGGUUGGGGAUGGGGUCGCGGCCUAUCAGCUUGUUGGUGCGGUAAUGGCUCACCAAGGCGUCGACGGGUAGCCGGCCUGAGAGGGUGACCGGCCACCCUGGGACUGAGACACGGCCCAGACUCCUACGGGAGGCAGCAGUGGGGAAUAUUGCACAAUGGGCGGAAGCCUGAUGCAGCAACGCCGCGUGAGGGAUGACGGCCUUCGGGUUGUAAACCUCUUUUAGCAGGGAAGAAGCGAAAGUGACGGUACCUGCAGAAAAAGCACCGGCUAACUACGUGCCAGCCGCCGCAGUAA